Molecule: unclassified non-coding RNA, 804 nt
Filed under: Hevea brasiliensis (rubber tree)
Lineage: Eukaryota; Viridiplantae; Streptophyta; Magnoliopsida; Malpighiales; Euphorbiaceae
Source: RNAcentral
CUCCCAACUAACUGUGCUUCUUAACAGCAAAACACUGGAAAAUGAGUGUUACAAGAACGUAAAUUAGUAAAAUAAUUGAUAUGUACAACAGGUUGAAUAGUUAUAUGAUACAAUUUCUGUUACAACACGGUACAAUUUCUGUUUAUAAUUACUUAAAAAGUCAAACCUAGUGAGGGAAAAGAGGAUCAUAUAGGGGCAGGGGGUUCUCUAGAAUACACUGCACUCUACGUAUUUACGAAAGAAUUCCUCCUCUUUGCAGUACCUAUAAAUAACUUUGAAAACCUCGAUCAAGAGUUUUGGAAAUCGGCAUGAAAAAUAAUUCUCAAAUCCUUCUGGAUGAGAUCCUAAUAUUUCUUUGAUUUCUUGAGGAAGUUCCCUAUAGUGAUGUGACUUGUUGCGUAUUACCCGCAACAAAUCACGGACGCUAUCAUACUUAUACCGCCUGUACCGACCAAUAUUGUUGAUAAAUGCAGCUUCCAUCUUUUCAUCCCAUUUCCCAUUCAAUGCCAUUGUUCCAACAGUCUCUAAUGCAGUUAAGAGUUCCGAUUCAUUCUCCCUAUCUUCCAGUUCAACCCUAUCACUGACAUCCUGAAGAAAUAAGAGUCUUUUCUCAGAAGUCCAGAACAAAGGAUGGUUCAAUACCUCCUGAGCUUUUGGCCUCUUAUCUGGGUUAGGAUCCAAGAGGCAAGAAAAUAGAUCCACAGCUUCUGGUAUAUUCUCCACCAAGAACAGGUCUUUUCGGUCAUUCACAAUAUUUACAUCACGUUCAAUAUUGUCGCCAAAAGGGUGCUUUCCUCCUGUGAC